AAGAGAGACAUAAAGGUUAUGAUGUUGGCUUGAAACCAGCUAGAGAAGGUUCGAGUCCUUCCUUUCUUG
RNAcentral lists this transfer RNA (69 nucleotides) under Physeter macrocephalus (sperm whale). RNAcentral describes it as "Physeter catodon (sperm whale) tRNA". It matches the Rfam family "tRNA". From Rfam's summary of the family: Transfer RNA (tRNA) molecules are approximately 80 nucleotides in length. Their secondary structure includes four short double-helical elements and three loops (D, anti-codon, and T loops). Further hydrogen bonds mediate the characteristic L-shaped molecular structure. tRNAs have two regions of fundamental functional importance: the anti-codon, which is responsible for specific mRNA codon recognition, and the 3' end, to which the tRNAs corresponding amino acid is attached (by aminoacyl-tRNA synthetases). tRNAs cope with the degeneracy of the genetic code in two manners: having more than one tRNA (with a specific anti-codon) for a particular amino acid; and 'wobble' base-pairing, i.e. permitting non-standard base-pairing at the 3rd anti-codon position. Lineage: Eukaryota; Metazoa; Chordata; Mammalia; Artiodactyla; Physeteridae. The record is from Rfam by way of RNAcentral.